UCGCUCAACGGAUAAAAGCUACCCUGGGGAUAACAGGCUUAUCUCCCCCAAGAGUCCACAUCGACGGGGAGGUUUGGCACCUCGAUGUCGGCUCAUCGCAUCCUGGGGCUGAAGUAGGUCCCAAGGGUUGGGCUGUUCGCCCAUUAAAGCGGUACGCGAGCUGGGUUCAGAACGUCGUGAGACAGUUCGGUCCCUAUCCGUCGUGGGCGUAGGAAAUUUGAGAGGAGCUGUCCUUAGUACGAGAGGACUGGGAUGGACACACCGCUGGUGUACCAGUUGUUCCGCCAGGAGCAUAGCUGGGUAGCUACGUGUGGACGGGAUAAGCGCUGAAAGCAUCUAAGCGUGAAGCCCCCCUCGAGAUGAGAUUUCCCAUUACGUUAAGUAAGUAAGACCCCUUAGAGAUGAUGAGGUUGAUAGGUCUCGGGUGGAAGCGUGGCGACACGUGGAGCUGAGAGAUACUAAUCGGUCGAGGGCUUAUCCAAAA
Molecule: ribosomal RNA, 484 nt
Filed under: Alkalihalophilus pseudofirmus
Lineage: Bacteria; Bacillati; Bacillota; Bacilli; Caryophanales; Bacillaceae
Description: bacterial LSU rRNA
Rfam family: Bacterial large subunit ribosomal RNA
Source: RNAcentral